GAUGAACGCUGGCGGCGUGCCUAAUACAUGCAAGUCGAGCGAACAGACGAGGAGCUUGCUCCUCUGACGUUAGCGGCGGACGGGUGAGUAACACGUGGAUAACCUACCUAUAAGACUGGGAUAACUUCGGGAAACCGGAGCUAAUACCGGAUAAUAUAUUGAACCGCAUGGUUCAAUAGUGAAAGACGGUUUUGCUGUCACUUAUAGAUGGAUCCGCGCCGCAUUAGCUAGUUGGUAAGGUAACGGCUUACCAAGGCAACGAUGCGUAGCCGACCUGAGAGGGGGAUCGGCCACCUUGGAACUGAGACGCGGUCCAGACGCCUACGGGAGGCCGCAGUAGGGAAUCUUCCGCAAUGGGCGAAAGCCUGACGGAGCAACGCCGCGUGAGUGAUGAAGGUCUUCGGAUCGUAAAACUCUGUUAUUAGGGAAGAACAAAUGUGUAAGUAACUAUGCACGUCUUGACGGUACCUAAUCAGAAAGCCACGGCUAACUACGUG
Molecule: ribosomal RNA, 497 nt
Filed under: uncultured bacterium
Lineage: Bacteria
Description: partial 16S ribosomal RNA
Rfam family: Bacterial small subunit ribosomal RNA
Source: RNAcentral